AGAGUGCGUAAUAGCUCACUAGUCGAGAGGUCCUGCGCCGAAAAUGUCCGGGGCUAAAACACAACACCGAAGCUUAGGAAUUCUAAUGAAUUGGUAGAGGAGCAUUGAAGACGGAACGAAGCCAUACCGGAAGGAAUGGUGGACUGUCUUGAAGAGAGAAUGCCGGAAUGAGUAGCGAGAUUGAAGUGAGAAUCUUCAAGGCCGAAUAUCUAAGGUUUCCAGGGUAAAGCUGAUCUGCCCUGGGUAAGUCGGGGCCUAAGGCAAGGUCGAAAGACGUAGUCGAUGGAUAACAGGUUGAAAUUCCUGUACUGCAUCAAAUCAGAAAUGUGGGGACACAUGAGGGAAGCAUGAGCCGGAAAAGGAAAGUCCGGUACAAGCGCAGCAGAGGACAGAUAGGCAAAACCGUCUGUCAACUCGAGGGCGUGAUGUGGAGCGAACCAAAGUAGCGAAGCAUGUGGAGCUUGUGUCGAGAAAAGCCGCUAUAGUGUUUGAUGUACCCGUACCGUAAACCGACACAGGUGGAUGAGGAGAGAAUCCUAAGGCCGGCGGGAGAAGCAUUGUUAAGGAACUCGGCAAAAUGACCCCGUAACUUCGGGAGAAGGGGUGCUCCAGAGAUGGAGCCGCAGAGAACUGGCCCAAGCAACUGUUUAGCAAAAACACAGGUCUAUGCAAAACCGAAAGGUGAGGUAUAUGGGCUGACGCCUGCCCGGUGCUGGAAGGUUAAGAGGAGAGGUUAGCGCAAGCGAAGCUUUGAAUUUAAGCCCCAGUAAACGGCGGCCGUAACUAUAACGGUCCUAAGGUAGCGAAAUUCCUUGUCGGGUAAGUUCCGACCCGCACGAAAGGCGUAAUGAUUUGGGCACUGUCUCGACAAUGCACCCGGUGAAAUUGAAAUACCAGUGAAGAUGCUGGUUACCUGCGCCAGGACGGAAAGACCCCAUGGAGCUUUACUCUAGCUUGAUACUGGGGUUCGGUAUUGCAUGUACAGGAUAGGUGGGAGACGAAGAGGCAGUGACGCCAGUUGCUGCGGAGUCGAUGUUGGGAUACCACCCUUGCAGUACUGGGCUUCUAACCUGCAGCCGUGACCCGGCUGGGGGACAAUGUCUGGUGGGGAGUUUGACUGGGGCGGUCGCCUCCGAAAGAGUAUCGGAGGCGCUCAAAGGUUCCCUCAGAAUGGUUGGAAACCAUUCGAAGAGCGCAAAGGCAGAAGGGAGCUUGACUGCGACACCGACGGGUGGAGCAGGUACGAAAG
RNAcentral lists this ribosomal RNA (1249 nucleotides) under human gut metagenome. RNAcentral describes it as "bacterial LSU rRNA". It matches the Rfam family "Bacterial large subunit ribosomal RNA", at positions 1127 to 2405 of the family's 2925-position model. The record is from RNAcentral.